This 1405-nucleotide ribosomal RNA is filed under the name uncultured prokaryote. Its description in RNAcentral is "partial 16S ribosomal RNA". It matches the Rfam family "Bacterial small subunit ribosomal RNA". The record is from RNAcentral.
AGAGUUUGAUCCUGGCUCAGAACGAACGUUGGCGGCGUGCUUAACACAUGCAAGUCGAGCGAGAACACUCCCUUCGGGGAGUUAGUACAGCGGCGGACGGGUGCGUAACACGUAGAUAACCUACCCCCGAGUUCGGGAUAACGGAUCGAAAGGCCCGCUAAUACCGGAUAAGACCACGCAACUGCGGUUGUGUGAGAAAAGAUGCUCGCAUGGGUGUCGCUUGAGGAUGGGUCUGCGGCCUAUCAGCUUGUUGGUGAGGUAACGGCUCACCAAGGCUUCGACGGGUAGCUGGUCUGAGAGGAUGGUCAGCCACACUAGGACUGAGACACGGCCUAGACUCCUACGGGAGGCAGCAGUGGGGAAUAUUGCGCAAUGGGCGAAAGCCUGACGCAGCAACGCCGCGUGAGUGACGAAGGCCUUCGGGUCGUAAAGCUCUGUCGCCUGGGAAGAACCACCUGUUUAACAAACAGGUCUGACGGUACCAGGAAAGGAAGCACCGGCUAACUCCGUGCCAGCAGCCGCGGUAAUACGGAGGGUGCAAACGUUGUUCGGAAUUAUUGGGCGUAAAGGGCGCGUAGGCGGCCAAGUAUGUCUGGUGUGAAAGCCCAUCUCUUAAAGAUGGAACUGCGCUGGAAACUGCUUGGCUAGAGUACUGGAGGGGGUGGCGGAAUUCCCGGUGUAGAGGUGAAAUUCGUAGAUAUCGGGAGGAACACCUGUGGCGAAGGCGGCCACCUGGACAGAUACUGACGCUGAUGCGCGAAAGUGUGGGGAGCAAACAGGAUUAGAUACCCUGGUAGUCCACACUGUAAACGUUGGGUGCUAGGUGUUGCGGGUAUUGACCCCUGCAGUGCCGAAGUUAACGCAUUAAGCACCCCGCCUGGGGACUACGGCCGCAAGGCUAAAACUCAAAGGAAUUGACGGGGGUCCGCACAAGCGGUGGAGCAUGUGGUUUAAUUCGACGCAACGCGAAGAACCUUACCCGGCCUUGACAUCCCAAGAACUUCCUAGAAAUAGGAAGGUGCCCUUCGGGGAACUUGGUGACAGGUGCUGCAUGGCUGUCGUCAGCUCGUGUCGUGAGAUGUUGGGUUAAGUCCCGCAACGAGCGCGCAACCCUUGCCUUUAGUUGCCAUCAUUUAGUUGGGCACUCUAGAGGGACCGCCGGGGUUAACCCGGAGGAAGGUGGGGAUGACGUCAAGUCCUCAUGGCCUUUAUGGUCGGGGCUACACACGUGCUACAAUGGGCGAUACAAACGGUUGCGAAACCGCGAGGUCAAGCUAAUCCGAUAAAAUCGUUCUCAGUUCGGAUUGCAGUCUGCAACUCGACUGCAUGAAGGCGGAAUCGCUAGUAAUCGCGUAUCAGAAUGACGCGGUGAAUACGUUCCCGGGCCUUGUACACACCGCCCGUC